RNAcentral lists this small nuclear RNA (141 nucleotides) under Saimiri boliviensis boliviensis (Bolivian squirrel monkey). Its description in RNAcentral is "U4 spliceosomal RNA (ENSSBOG00000000327.1)". It matches the Rfam family "U4 spliceosomal RNA". From Rfam's summary of the family: U4 small nuclear RNA (U4 snRNA) is a component of the major U2-dependent spliceosome. Lineage: Eukaryota; Metazoa; Chordata; Mammalia; Primates; Cebidae. The record is from Rfam by way of RNAcentral.
AGCUUUGCACAGUGGCAGUAUUGUAGCCAAUGAGGUUUAUCUGGGGCGCGAUUAUUGCUAAUUGAAAACUUUUCCCAAGACCCCGCCGUGACGACUUGCUAUACAGUCGGCACUGGCAAUUUUUGACAGUCUCUAUGGAGA